AUGAUCUCACGGACUGAAGUUAGCACACAUCUAUGGCAGGCAUCUUCAAGAGGUUUGUUGGAAACUAGGCAAGUUGUAGAUGUGGGUGAAACGUCAGGAGAGAAUGCUUCUGGAACAUGGCCAUACAGCCCGGAAAACACACAACCACCCUGUGAUUCCAGCCAUGAAAUCCUUUGGCUGCUUAAAUGUUUUCCCCGCAAUAAAACAACCUUUUUCAUCUUGCGUACACUCUCAUGGCCUUCCACUGGGGCUACAGUAGAGUCUCACUUAUCCAACACUCGCUUAUCCAACGUUCUGGAUUAUCCAACGCAUUUUUGUAGUCAAUGUUUUCAAUACAUUGUGAUAUUUUGGUGCUAACUUCGUAAAUAUAGUAAUUACUACAUAGCAUUACUGUGUAUUGAACUACUUUUUUCAUCAAAUUUGUUGUAUAACAUGAUGUUUUGGUGCUUAAUUUGUAAAAUCAUAACCUAAUUUGAUGUUUAAUUGGCUUUUCCUUAAUCCCUCCUUAUUAUCCAACAUAUUCGCUUAUCCGACGUUCUGCCGGCCCGUUUAUGUUGGAUAAGUGGGACUCUACUGUAUAUAAUUAAUACUCUUAUAUUGUAUUAUUAGUAUUAUAUCGUAUUACAAUAUAAUAUCAUGAAUAAUUAUACGUAUAUACAAUAUGUUAUAAUUAUUAGAACAUUCCCACUUGCCUCCAACAGACAAGAGUUCUUUCUCCCACCCUGCGGAUUCCACAGAUAUAUAAACUUCCCUUCCCUAGCUUCCAACAGACCUCACAAAGUCUAUCAUAGAUGUGGGCGAAACAUCAGGAGAGAAUGCUUCUGGACCAUGGCCAGAAAAACUCACAGUCUGUCCUUCAACAACACAUUUUUAUGACUAUUCCUGGGGCUCAGAAUAAACUGCCCCCCUUUAGCAUCCUUCCGUUAUAUGACUUGAAAAUUCAGAAAAAAAAUAUGCAGAACCAUUCACACAAAACUGAAUUCUUUCAGAGGACAUUGCACUCAACCGCCUUACAAUCUGGAGCCAGAGUUGUGAAAAAUAUUUCUGUUUAACAUUCUUACUCUUUUUUUUUUAAAUUACAUCCAGGCCGCACUGAAAGAUACUACACCUCUCUGCUGCUCUCUGACUCCUGUUCUGCGAUAACCUAUAGUGUCGCCAGGUUCUGUGCGGCAGCAAUUUCCAUCAGACGGACGAUGACUGACCCCACAGGGCCUGUAGCCAGAGCAAUCUGUUAUAACUGAAAUACUGCAAAUGCUCCCUCUAUCCCCCUCCAGAGCCUCUUAGUGGAUCCAUAUUUACUAUUAGCUGACCCUGCUAAUAAUCUGCUUUUAAUUUGUUUUUAUUAUAGCAUGUUUUUAACUUGUUCUUUUAUCUGACUUUUAUGGGAACUGUGAUUCCCCUUUUCGGGCACCUGUGCCCAUUUCCAUAUAUUCUGGUCAUAGACCGUAAUAAAUUACUACUACUACUACUCUUUUUAUUAGAUUUGGGGAGAAGCUGGUUUUCAUCAAGUGAUCUAUCCAUCUCCAGGGAGCUGGAGACAAAUGGAGCAACCAGAUGCAGGACAAUGUGGGCAAUAUGUGGGCCUCCAGCUAUAGCUUCCAUCACCCCAACCACUGACCAUUUUGGUAGCUGGGAGUCCAGUGGCAGCUAGAAGGUUACAUGAUGCCCGAAGGGGAGAAAACAGUGGUUACGAAGGACUGAGACACAGGUGUGUAGGAAAUGACACAACCAUCCUAUUUCAGGUGCCCACCCCAAGACGUCCCACCCCAACCCCCCAAAAUAAUGAGAGGUAGAAGCUUGUUUUCCAAAAUAUUUUCAACCAUGAUACAAACAUCGAUGCCAUACAUCACAUUUCAUGCUUCAAACCAUGUCACAAAACACAAAACCACAAAACAAUUCCAGUCACCAUCGGAGUCCGUUAUCCGAGGACCGUCCACUCCGUUUCACAUCGCUUUCAAACUCCACAGAGAAGACAACGAAAACACCUUUCGG
Long non-coding RNA from Anolis carolinensis (green anole), 1992 nucleotides. The record is from Ensembl. NCBI's taxonomy places the organism in Eukaryota, Metazoa, Chordata, Lepidosauria, Squamata, Anolidae.